Hyla sarda is the source of this 665-nucleotide long non-coding RNA. RefSeq lists it as uncharacterized. The record is from RefSeq and is a predicted model, not a curated record. NCBI's taxonomy places the organism in Eukaryota, Metazoa, Chordata, Amphibia, Anura, Hylidae. The transcript has 3 exons.
UAGACCAGCCAUGAAUCUCAUGGGAGUAAACAUGUGACCAUUGCCUCCUCUCACAUUCUUAGUGCCCUCUGCAUAUAAUAGACUGGAGCCAUCCCAAAAUGGUGAUGGCAUUUCAAGAAAAUUCCUAGAGAUUUAAUGGUUUUCAUGAGAAGAAUCCAUCAUAAUGCUCCUAAGGGAUAAUUGCUCACAUAGAUCACUAAAUUUUACUACAUGUCACGACCCUGAAGGAACCUUUCAUUUAACCUCUUGUGCUCCAGGCAGCUGUAGUUGUAUAACAUCUACCACUAAAUUGCUUAAUGUGUUCCUGUCCGGUGAAUUAUUUGCAGGUCCUCUCACAUUUGCGGCUGCUCCUGUUUUUUCAACAAGGUACAAACCCUGUGCUUCCAUCUGGUACUAAUUGUACAACUAUUGGUGUCACUGCGAAUAAUGGAAGCUGGAAUGGAGUGUUUCCAGAGCUGAUUCCCAGCAGAGCCCUUGAGGGAAAGAUGCAGCAAGUCUGCCUUGGAAGAAUGAUGAGAUGUGAGCGCAGGGAAGAGAGACGCAGAGCAGGGACCAACAAUGACAUCAAGACCUGAAAAGAGGUUGAAAACAUAAAAGUUCCUCAGAGUUUGGGUGGAGAAAGCAGGUUCCUGUCAGAAAUGACUACACCAAAGAGUCUUCUGGGA